RNAcentral lists this ribosomal RNA (466 nucleotides) under uncultured bacterium. Its description in RNAcentral is "partial 16S rRNA". The record is from RNAcentral.
GCACGUAGUUAGCCGGCGCUUCUUCUCCCACUACCGUCACUUACGCUUCGUCAUGGUUGAAAGAGGUUUACGACCCGAAGGCCGUCAUCCCUCACGCGGCGUCGCUGCAUCAGGCUUCCGCCCAUUGUGCAAUAUUCCCCACUGCUGCCUCCCGUAGGAGUCUGGGCCGUGUCUCAGUCCCAGUGUGACCGGUCGCCCUCUCAGGCCGGCUACCCGUCGUCGCCUUGGUAGGCCAUCACCCCACCAACAAGCUGAUAGGCCGCGAGCCCAUCCCCAGCCGCAAACACUUUCCACCACCCACGAUGCCGCAGGAAGUGAAUAUCCGGUAUUAGCCCCCGUUUCCGAGGGUUAUCCCAAAGCUGAGGGCAGGUUACUCACGUGUUACUCACCCGUUCGCCGCUCGAGCACCCCCGAAAGGGCCUUUCCGCACGACUUGCAUGUGUUAAGCACGCCGCCAGCGUUCGUC